Molecule: long non-coding RNA, 108 nt
Organism: Coregonus clupeaformis (lake whitefish)
Lineage: Eukaryota; Metazoa; Chordata; Actinopteri; Salmoniformes; Salmonidae
Exons: 2
Source: RefSeq, a predicted model, not a curated record
AUGCUAACGCUAGCUAGCCUGAGCUAGAAGCCUUGCUUUGGUGUUUUAAGUCACGACUCCGUCCUGCUUCAGGUUAAUCAUGCUUUAAAUAAAGUUUAAUCAUGUGUA